GCGCAGCAGGCGAGAAACCUUCGCAAUGCAGGAAACUGCGACGAGGGAACUCCAAGUGCCUACGCUCAGCGUAGGCUGUUCUCAAGCCUAGAAAGCUUGAGGAGUAAGGGCUGGGUAAGACGGGUGCCAUCUGUGGUAGCAGUCAAUAGAUUCGAUUUGUUACUGCAAGGCAUAAGCCGCCGCGGUAAUACCCGCAGCCCAAGUGGUGGCCGCUUUUAUUGGGCCUAAAGCGUCCGUAGCCGGCCCGGUAAAUGCCUGGGUAAAUCGUGGAGCCCAACUUCACGAAUUCCGGGUAGACUGCCGAGCUCGGGACCGGAAGAGGGAGAGGGUACUUCGAGGGGUAGGGGUGAAAAUUUCCGUUUCCAUUAACGCUUUGCGCGAAGCGGAAAGGGUUA
This 395-nucleotide ribosomal RNA is filed under the name uncultured microorganism. RNAcentral describes it as "bacterial SSU rRNA". It matches the Rfam family "Archaeal small subunit ribosomal RNA", at positions 330 to 677 of the family's 1478-position model. The record is from RNAcentral.